Molecule: ribosomal RNA, 267 nt
Filed under: uncultured bacterium
Lineage: Bacteria
Description: partial 16S ribosomal RNA
Rfam family: Bacterial small subunit ribosomal RNA
Source: RNAcentral
UAUGGCGACCGGCGCACGGGUGAGUAACACGUAUCCAACCUGCCGAUGACUCGGGGAUAGCCUUUCGAAAGAAAGAUUAAUACCCGAUGGCAUAGUUCUUCCGCAUGGUGGAACUAUUAAAGAAUUUCGGUCAUCGAUGGGGAUGCGUUCCAUUAGGUUGUUGGCGGGGUAACGGCCCACCAAGCCUUCGAUGGAUAGGGGUUCUGAGAGGAAGAUCCCCCACAUUGGAACUGAGACACGGUCCAAACUCCUACGGGAGGCAGCAUG